Molecule: ribosomal RNA, 514 nt
Filed under: uncultured bacterium
Lineage: Bacteria
Description: bacterial SSU rRNA
Rfam family: Bacterial small subunit ribosomal RNA
Source: RNAcentral
GACGAACGCUGGCGGCGUGCUUAACACAUGCAAGUCGAGCGAAGUAUUCAAGAUAGAUUUCUUCGGAUUGAAGUCUUGAAUAUCUUAGCGGCGAACGGGUGAGUAACGCGUGAGAAACCUGCCUUUCACAAAGGGAUAGCCUCGGGAAACUGGGAUUAAUACCUUAUGAUACUUACAUUUCACAUGAGAAGUAAGUUAAAAGCGCAAAAGCGGUGAAAGAUGGUCUCGCGUCCCAUUAGUUAGUUGGUGAGGUAACGGCUCACCAAGACCGCGAUGGGUAGCCGGCCUGAGAGGGUGAACGGCCACACUGGAACUGAGACACGGUCCAGACUCCUACGGGAGGCAGCAGUGGGGAAUAUUGCACAAUGGAGGAAACUCUGAUGCAGCGACGCCGCGUGAGUGAAGAAGGCCUUCGGGUCGUAAAACUUUGUCCUAGGGACGAUAAUAGACGGUACCUAGGAGGAAGCCCGGCCGUAACUACGUGCCAGCAGCCGCGGUAAAAGUGUGUGUACUA